This is a long non-coding RNA of Sinocyclocheilus anshuiensis, 122 nucleotides long. RefSeq lists it as uncharacterized. Lineage: Eukaryota; Metazoa; Chordata; Actinopteri; Cypriniformes; Cyprinidae. The transcript is spliced from 4 exons. The record is from RefSeq and is a predicted model, not a curated record.
UUUUAAAAACACAACGCCGCACUGAGUUUACUUGUCGGAGAGCAGCGGGCAAACAACAAACGAUAAAGGACAUUCCUACUUGGUCUUUGAACACACUCAGAAGAAUUGGAGAAACUGAGGAG